This 656-nucleotide ribosomal RNA is filed under the name uncultured Acidobacteriota bacterium. Its description in RNAcentral is "bacterial LSU rRNA". It matches the Rfam family "Bacterial large subunit ribosomal RNA", at positions 1 to 623 of the family's 2925-position model. The record is from RNAcentral. Lineage: Bacteria; Pseudomonadati; Acidobacteriota.
AGUAAAUUUUGUGGUCAAGCUACUAAGGGCGCAUGGUGGAUGCCUUGGCAGAAGGAGGCGAUGAAGGACGUGGCAAGCUGCGAUAAGCCUCGGGGAGCCGCAAGCAGGCUUUGAUCCGGGGAUUUCCGAAUGGGGAAACCCUAUACGGUAAAACCGUAUAACGGCUCGACGAAUACAUAGUCGAGCACGAGCGAACCCAGGGAAGUGAACCAUCUCAGUGCCUGGAGGAAAAGAAAGAAAUUCGAUUCCGAAAGUAGUGGCGAGCGAAAUCGGAACAGCCCAAACCCAGUGAACCUUCGGGUUCAGUGGGGGUUGUAGGGCCCGCAACAGUAGAGUUACCAAUCCAGUCAUUAGUCGAAGCCCUCUGGAAAGAGGCGCCAUAGAGCGUGAUAGCCGCGUAGGCGAAAAUGAUCUGGACUCGAAGCGGGCACCUGAGUACCGCGGGGCACGUGAAACCCUGUGGGAAUCUGCGGAGACCAUUCCGUAAGGCUAAAUACUACCUUCUGACCGAUAGUGAACCAGUACCGUGAGGGAAAGGUGAAAAGAACCCCUGCGAGGGGAGUGAAAUAGUACCUGAAACCGUGUGCCUACAAGCAGUGGGAGGGCUAUGCCCGUAAGGGAAUGCCUGACCGCGUGCCUAUUGCAUAAUGAGCCGG